Molecule: ribosomal RNA, 1427 nt
Filed under: uncultured organism
Description: 16S ribosomal RNA
Rfam family: Bacterial small subunit ribosomal RNA
Source: RNAcentral
CUGGCGGCGUGCUUAACACAUGCAAGUCGAACGGAAAGGCCCUGCUUUUGUGGGGUGCUCGAGUGGCGAACGGGUGAGUAACACGUGAGUAACCUGCCCUUGACUUUGGGAUAACUUCAGGAAACUGGGGCUAAUACCGGAUAGGAGCUCCUGCUGCAUGGUGGGGGUUGGAAAGUUUCGGCGGUUGGGGAUGGACUCGCGGCUUAUCAGCUUGUUGGUGGGGUAGUGGCUUACCAAGGCUUUGACGGGUAGCCGGCCUGAGAGGGUGACCGGCCACAUUGGGACUGAGAUACGGCCCAGACUCCUACGGGAGGCAGCAGUGGGGAAUAUUGCACAAUGGGCGGAAGCCUGAUGCAGCAACGCCGCGUGCGGGAUGACGGCCUUCGGGUUGUAAACCGCUUUCGCCUGUGACGAAGCGUGAGUGACGGUAAUGGGUAAAGAAGCACCGGCUAACUACGUGCCAUCAGCCGCGGUGAUACGUAGGGUGCGAGCGUUGUCCGGAUUUAUUGGGCGUAAAGGGCUCGUAGGUGGUUGAUCGCGUCGGAAGUGUAAUCUUGGGGCUUAACCCUGAGCGUGCUUUCGAUACGGGUUGACUUGAGGAAGGUAGGGGAGAAUGGAAUUCUGGGUGGAGCGGUGGAAUGCGCAGAUAUCAGGAGGAACACCAGUGGCGAAGGCGGUUCUCUGGGCCUUUCCUGACGCUGAGGAGCGAAAGCGUGGGGAGCGAACAGGCUUAGAUACCCUGGUAGUCCACGCUGUAAACGGUGGGUACUAGGUGUGGGGUCCAUUCCACGGGUUCCGUGCCGUAGCUAACGCUUUAAGUACCCCGCCUGGGGAGUACGGCCGCAAGGCUAAAACUCAAAGGAAUUGACGGGGCCCCGCACAAGCGGCGGAGCAUGCGGAUUAAUUCGAUGCAACGCGUAGAACCUUACCUGGGUUUGACAUGGAUCGGGAGUGCUCAGAGAUGGGUGUGCCUCUUUUGGGGUCGGUUCACAGGUGGUGCAUGGCUGUCGUCAGCUCGUGUCGUGAGAUGUUGGGUUAAGUCCCGCAACGAGCGCAACCCUUGUUCACUGUUGCCAGCACGUUAUGGUGGGGACUCAGUGGAGACCGCCGGGGUCAACUCGGAGGAAGGUGGGGAUGACGUCAAGUCAUCAUGCCCCUUAUGUCCAGGGCUUCACGCAUGCUACAAUGGCUGGUACAGAGAGUGGCGAGCCUGUGAGGGUGAGCGAAUCUCGGAAAGCCGGUCUCAGUUCGGAUUGGGGUCUGCAACUCGACCUCAUGAAGUCGGAGUCGCUAGUAAUCGCAGAUCAGCAACGCUGCGGUGAAUACGUUCCCGGGGCUUGUACACACCGCCCGUCAAGUCAUGAAAGUUGGUAACACCCGAAGCCGGUGGCCUAACCGUUGUGGGGGAGCCGUCGAAGGUGGGACUG